GGCUUGCCCUGGGGCAGAGCCGCGAACGGGUGAGUAACACGUGGGUAACCUACCCCGAUGACCGGGACAACCCGAGGAAACUCGGGCUAAUACCGGAUGUUCUCGUAUCUCUCAAGGGUUACGAGCAAAGAUAGCUUCGGCCUUCGCAUCGGGACGGGCCCGCGGCCCAUUAGCUUGUUGGUGGGGUAACGGCCUACCAAGGCUGCGAUGGGUAGCUGGUCUGAGAGGACGAUCAGCCACACUGGGACUGAGACACGGCCCAGACUCCUACGGGAGGCAGCAGUGGGGAAUCUUGCGCAAUGCGCGAAAGCGUGACGCAGCAACGCCGCGUGGGGGAAGAAGGCCUUCGGGUUGUAAACCCCUUUCAGUUGGGACGAAGCUUCGAGGGUUAAUAGCUCUCUGGAGUGACGGUACCUUCAGAAGAAGCCCCGGCUAACUACGUGCCAGCAGCCGCGGUAAUACGUAGGGGGCUAGCGUUGUCCGGAAUCAUUGGGCGUAAAGCGCGUGUAGGCGGUCCGGUAAGUCCGCUGUGAAAGUCGGGGGCUCAACCCUCGGAUGCCGGUGGAUACUGUCGGGCUUGAGUACGGAAGAGGCGAGUGGAAUUCCUGGUGUAGCGGUGAAAUGCGCA
This 628-nucleotide ribosomal RNA is filed under the name uncultured bacterium. RNAcentral's name for it is "bacterial SSU rRNA". It matches the Rfam family "Bacterial small subunit ribosomal RNA", at positions 77 to 692 of the family's 1533-position model. The record is from RNAcentral.